GUCGAGGAUCUUGGACAAUGGGCGAAAGCCUGAUCCAGCGACGCCGCGUGAGGGAUGAAGGUCUUCGGAUUGUAAACCUCUGUCACUUGGGAAAAAUGCUUUGAACCUAAUACGUUCAAAGUUGAUGGUACCAGGAGAGGAAGGGACGGCUAACUCUGUGCCAGCAGCCGCGGUAAUACAGAGGUCCCAAGCGUUGUUCGGAUUUACUGGGCUUAAAGGGUGCGCAGGCGGUCAGAUAAGUCGGGUGUGAAAUCCCAAAGCUUAACUUUGGAACUGCGCCCGAAACUGUCUGGCUCGAGGAUUGGAGAGGAGACUGGAAUUCACGGUGUAGCGGUGAAAUGCGUAGAUAUCGUGAGGAACACCAAUGGCGAAGGCAGGUCUCUGGACAAUUCCUGACGCUCAUGCACGAAAGCCAGGGGAGCAAACGGGAUUAGAUACCCGGGUAGUCC
Molecule: ribosomal RNA, 449 nt
Filed under: uncultured bacterium
Lineage: Bacteria
Description: bacterial SSU rRNA
Rfam family: Bacterial small subunit ribosomal RNA
Source: RNAcentral